This is a long non-coding RNA of Beta vulgaris subsp. vulgaris (sugar beet), 597 nucleotides long. RefSeq lists it as uncharacterized. The transcript is spliced from 2 exons. Lineage: Eukaryota; Viridiplantae; Streptophyta; Magnoliopsida; Caryophyllales; Amaranthaceae. The record is from RefSeq and is a predicted model, not a curated record.
CUCUCUCUCUCACCCUCAACCUCACCCUUUCUCUCUCUUAACCUUCAUCUCUCUUUCGAAUCUCAAUAACGAAAGCAUAAAUCUUCUUAAUUUCGUGUUUUCGGGUCUCUGGCAUACAAAUUUCGACAAGUUCUUCUUCAAUUCUUCUUAAUUUCGUGUUUUCGGAUCUCUGGCAUACAAAUUUCGACAAGUUCUUCUUCAAUUUCGAAGAGUUCUUCAAUUCCGACAAGUUAUUCUUCAAUUUCGAAGAGUUCUUCAAUUUCGACAAGUUCUUCUUCAAUUUCGAAGAGUUCUUCGAUUUUCAGAUCUGAAGGAGGAAGAGAAGAAAUUGCAGACAAGAUCUUACAUUUCGGUUGUUUCAUUAUUUUCAGAUUUUUAUAUUUCUGUUGUUUAAGCGUAGGAUUUUCAGAUUUUUUUAUAUUUCGAUUGUUUUAGGAUUUCGCUGAACACUUCAUAUUAUUCCAGAUUUUUUUCAUUCUAUACUGGAUGUACAAGUGAUAUAAUUUUUUGGUUCGUUUCAUCGACCUCGCUGUAUAAUUUCAUUGUUUAAUUUCAGAUUUUUAUAUUUCGAUUGUUUAAUUUAUUUUAUUUUGAUGA